UACGGAGGGAGCUAGCGUUAUUCGGAAUUACUGGGCGUAAAGCGCACGUAGGCGGCUUUGUAAGUUAGAGGUGAAAGCCUGGAGCUCAACUCCAGAAUUGCCUUUAAGACUGCAUCGCUUGAAUCCAGGAGAGGUGAGUGGAAUUCCGAGUGUAGAGGUGAAAUUCGUAGAUAUUCGGAAGAACACCAGUGGCGAAGGCGGCUCACUGGACUGGUAUUGACGCUGAGGUGCGAAAGCUAGGGUAGCAAACGGG
RNAcentral lists this ribosomal RNA (253 nucleotides) under uncultured bacterium. Its description in RNAcentral is "partial 16S ribosomal RNA". It matches the Rfam family "Bacterial small subunit ribosomal RNA", at positions 524 to 776 of the family's 1533-position model. The record is from RNAcentral.